This 588-nucleotide ribosomal RNA is filed under the name Plantago ovata (blond plantain). Its description in RNAcentral is "bacterial SSU rRNA". It matches the Rfam family "Bacterial small subunit ribosomal RNA", at positions 391 to 997 of the family's 1533-position model. Lineage: Eukaryota; Viridiplantae; Streptophyta; Magnoliopsida; Lamiales; Plantaginaceae. The record is from RNAcentral.
GCAAUGCCGCGUGGAGGUAGAAGGCCCACGGGGCUUGUAAACCUCUUUCCCCGAGAGCGCGAUCAUGACAAGACUCGAGGAAGAAGCCCCGGCUAACUCCGUGCCAGCAGCCGCGGUAAGACGGGGGGGGCAAGUGUUCUUCGGAAUGACUGGGCGUAAAGGGCACGUAGGCCGUUCAUCGGGUGGAAAGUGAAAGUCGCCAAAAAGUGGCGGAAUGCUCUCGAAACCAAUGCACUUGAGUGAGACAGAGGAGAGUGGAAUUUCGUGUGUAGGGGUGAAAUCCUGAGAUCUACGAAGGAAGGCCAAAAGCGAAGGCAGCUCUCUGGGUCCCUACUGACGCUGAGGUGCGAAAGCAUGGGGAGCGAACAGGAUUAGAUACCCUGGUAGUCCAUGCCGUAAACUAGGAGUGUUCGCCCUUGGUCUAGGCAGAUCAGGGGCCCAGCUAACGCGUGAAACACUCCGCCUGGGGAGUACGUUCGCAAGAAUGAAACUCAAAGGAAUUGACGGGGGCCUGCACAAGCGGUGGAGCAUGUGGUUUAAUUCGAUACUACGCGCAAAACCUUACCAGCCCUUGACAUAUGAACAAGA